This 419-nucleotide ribosomal RNA is filed under the name bacterium. RNAcentral describes it as "partial 16S ribosomal RNA". It matches the Rfam family "Bacterial small subunit ribosomal RNA", at positions 355 to 776 of the family's 1533-position model. The record is from RNAcentral.
UGGGGGAUAUUGCACAAUGGGCGAAAGCCUGAUGCAGCGACGCCGCGUGGGGGAUGAAGGCCUUCGGGUUGUAAACUUCUUUUGCUCUGAACAAGGCAUGCUAAUGGGUGUGUUGAGUGUAGGGGUUGAUUAGCGCCGGCUAACUACGUGCCAGCAGCCGCGGUAAUACGUAGGGCGCGAGCGUUGUCCAGAAUUAUUGGGCGUAAAGGGCUUGUAGGUGGCUGGUUGCGUCUGUCGUGAAAGCUCAUGGCUUAACUGUGGGUUUGCGGUGGGUACGGGCUGGCUUGAGUGCAGUAGGGGAGGCUGGAAUUCCUGGUGUAGCGGUGGAAUGCGCAGAUAUCAGGAGGAAUACCGGUGGCGAAGGCGGGUCUCUGGGCUGUUACUGACACUGAGGAGCGAAAGCAUGGGGAGCGAACAGG